This 428-nucleotide ribosomal RNA is filed under the name uncultured Sporomusa sp. RNAcentral describes it as "bacterial SSU rRNA". It matches the Rfam family "Bacterial small subunit ribosomal RNA", at positions 355 to 774 of the family's 1533-position model. The record is from RNAcentral. Lineage: Bacteria; Bacillati; Bacillota; Negativicutes; Selenomonadales; Sporomusaceae.
UGGGGAAUCUUCCGCAAUGGACGAAAGUCUGACGGAGCAACGCCGCGUGAGUGAAGAAGGUCUUCGGAUUGUAAAGCUCUGUCGUUUGGGACGAACGUGUUCUUUGUGAAUAAUGUAGAACAAUGACGGUACCAAAGGAGGAAGCCACGGCUAACUACGUGCCAGCAGCCGCGGUAAUACGUAGGUGGCAAGCGUUGUCCGGAAUUAUUGGGCGUAAAGGGCGUGUAGGUGGAUGCUUAAGUCGUGUGUCUAAGUGCGGGGCUCAACCCCGUAUAGGCGCAGGAAACUGGGUAUCUUGAGUGCAGGAGAGGAAAGUGGAAUUCCCAGUGUAGCGGUGAAAUGCGUAGAUAUUGGGAGGAACACCAGUGGCGAAGGCGACUUUCUGGACUGUGUCUGACACUGAGGCGCGAAAGCUAGGGGAGCGAACG